AGCGAACGCUAGCGGCGGGCUUAACACAUGCAAGUCGAGCGGAGAGCUUCGGCUCUCAGCGGCGAACGGGUGAGUAACACGUAGGUCACGUACCCUUUGAUGGGGAAUAACCUAGGGAAACCUGGGCUAAUACCGCAUAUGUCCUUCGGGAUGAAAGCCUUCGAGCGUCAGAGGAUCGGCCUGCGGCCCAUUAUUUAAUCCUAGUUGGUAGGGUAAUGGCCUACCAAGGGUACGAUGGGUAGCUGGUCUGAGAGGAUGAUCAGCCACACUGGAACUGAGACACGGUUCAGACUCCUACGGGAGGCAGCAGUGGGGAAUAUUGGACAAUGGGCGAAAGCCUGAUCCAGCCACGCCGCGUGGGUGAUGAAGGCCUUCGGGUUGUAAAGCCCUGUCGGGAGGGACGAAUCAAUGACGGUACCUCCCAAGAAAGCACCGGCUAACUCCGUG
RNAcentral lists this ribosomal RNA (447 nucleotides) under uncultured bacterium. RNAcentral's name for it is "bacterial SSU rRNA". It matches the Rfam family "Bacterial small subunit ribosomal RNA", at positions 29 to 507 of the family's 1533-position model. The record is from RNAcentral.